AGCAAUAAAAAAUAUCUGUGGUUGCCAAGUGGUAUUUCUCCGCUGGUUUUUGAGUUCAACAGUCACUUGUCCCGUGGACGCAUUACACGUACACUUAAAGCCAAAACAAAGCUUACAACUUUACUUCGUAUAUACAGUGGAAGUGGAUAAUCCCAUUCAUAAACCAUCCUCUGAGUUCUAACAAAUCAACUGAAAUCUCACUUCUUUAACCCCAAAUCUUUACAACAUGUCGUCUACAGCCGUCCUUGUGAUCCCCUGCACAGCGGCGGUUGCAUGGGAGGCAGGGAAGCCGUUGGUGAUGGAGAGGGUGGAGGUUGCUCCACCUCAGGCCAUGGAAGUUAGGGUCAAGAUCAAAUAUACUUCACUUUGCCACACACACACACAUGAUUUUAUAUGAUUACGAUUUGAAAUUUGUAGAUUUGUAAAGUACGAGUUUGGUUUUUGAAAAACUUUGUUUUUGUCUACU
Malus domestica (apple) is the source of this 466-nucleotide long non-coding RNA. RefSeq lists it as uncharacterized. Lineage: Eukaryota; Viridiplantae; Streptophyta; Magnoliopsida; Rosales; Rosaceae. The record is from RefSeq and is a predicted model, not a curated record.